GACGAACGCUGGCGGCGUGCUUAACACAUGCAAGUCGAACGGAAAGGCCCUGCUUUUGUGGGGUGCUCGAGUGGCGAACGGGUGAGUAACACGUGAGUAACCUGCCCUUGACUUUGGGAUAACUUCAGGAAACUGGGGCUAAUACCGGAUAGGAGCUCCUGCUGCAUGGUGGGGGUUGGAAAGUUUCGGCGGUUGGGGAUGGACUCGCGGCUUAUCAGCUUGUUGGUGGGGGAGUGGCUUACCAAGGCUUUGACGGGUAGCCGGCCGGGGAGGGUGACCGGCCACAUUGGGACUGAGAGACGGCCCAGACUCCUACGGGAGGCAGCAGUGGGGAAUAUUGCACAAUGGGCGGAAGCCUGAUGCAGCAACGCCGCGUGCGGGAUGACGGCCUUCGGGUUGUAAACCGCUUUCGCCUGUGACGAAGCGUGAGUGACGGUAAUGGGUAAAGAAGCACCGGCUAACUACGUG
Molecule: ribosomal RNA, 468 nt
Filed under: uncultured bacterium
Lineage: Bacteria
Description: partial 16S ribosomal RNA
Rfam family: Bacterial small subunit ribosomal RNA
Source: RNAcentral